AAAAAUGGUUACCUCUGGAUAGAGGAUAAAAACGCAACGGAUGGAGCUGAAGGGCUUUGGAGGAUCCUUGAUAAUUUGUAUGAUUUCCAGGAUUUUGUUAAGACACAUCCAGGAGGAUCAAUGUGGUUGGAAAUAACUAAGGGUACAGACAUUACUGAAGCUUUUUAUGCUCACCAUAUUUCAACAUUUCCUCAAGAAUUCAUAAAAAAAAUACAUGGUGAGGAAAGCAAGAUUUGCAAGAAGUUAUCCAUUUACAUUUCACGAAGAUGGCUUUUAUGAAACACUCAAACCACGAUUUAGAAACGAACUACCA
This is a long non-coding RNA of Aethina tumida (small hive beetle), 313 nucleotides long. RefSeq lists it as uncharacterized. NCBI's taxonomy places the organism in Eukaryota, Metazoa, Arthropoda, Insecta, Coleoptera, Nitidulidae. The record is from RefSeq and is a predicted model, not a curated record. The transcript has 2 exons.